AGAGGAAGGUCCGGCACAUUGGAACUGAGACACGGUCCAAACUCCUACGGGAGGCAGCAAUGAGGAAUAUUGGUCAAUGGGCGGAAGCCUGAACCAGCCAAGUAGCGUGAAGGAGACUGCCCUAUGAGUUGUAAACUUCAUUUAUAAGGGAAUAAUUGCGGGUACGCGUACCCGUUUGCAUGUACCUUAUGAAUAAGGAUCG
RNAcentral lists this ribosomal RNA (202 nucleotides) under uncultured Prevotella sp. RNAcentral describes it as "partial 16S ribosomal RNA". It matches the Rfam family "Bacterial small subunit ribosomal RNA", at positions 295 to 495 of the family's 1533-position model. The record is from RNAcentral. Lineage: Bacteria; Pseudomonadati; Bacteroidota; Bacteroidia; Bacteroidales; Prevotellaceae.